RNAcentral lists this ribosomal RNA (429 nucleotides) under Pseudomonadota bacterium. RNAcentral's name for it is "Proteobacteria bacterium partial 16S ribosomal RNA". It matches the Rfam family "Bacterial small subunit ribosomal RNA", at positions 355 to 776 of the family's 1533-position model. The record is from RNAcentral. Lineage: Bacteria; Pseudomonadati; Pseudomonadota.
UGGGGAAUAUUGGACAAUGGGCGAAAGCCUGAUCCAGCCAUGCCGCGUGUGUGAAGAAGGUCUUCGGAUUGUAAAGCACUUUAAGGUGGGAGGAAGGGCAGUAAGCGAAUACCUUGCUGUUUUGACGUUACCGACAGAAUAAGCACCGGCUAACUCUGUGCCAGCAGCCGCGGUAUUACAGAGGGUGCAAGCGUUAAUCGGAAUUACUGGGCGUAAAGCGCGCGUAGGUGGUUCGUUAAGUUGAAUGUGAAAGCCCCGGGCUCAACCUGGGAACUGCAUCCAAAACUGGCGAGCUAGAGUAGGGCAGAGGGUGGUGGAAUUUCCUGUGUAGCGGUGAAAUGCGUAGAUAUAGGAAGGAACACCAGUGGCGAAGGCGACCACCUGGGCUCAUACUGACACUGAGGUGCGAAAGCGUGGGGAGCAAACAGG